CAGAAAAGCUCUGUGCCCUGCGCGACAGCCGUGCAUCUCAGCAACACAGCCAGGAGUCCGCUCCCGGACCGGGGCUUCUCAGGACACUGGGAAAGGAGCCAGUCCUCUGAAGAGAACACUCUGGUCAGGUGGUGGAGGCCAGUGGGAAGCCAUCAGGCCUGCUUUCCAGGAGGGGUGAAGGGUUGGUGCACGGUGCAAGGGUGGCUGUAGCCAGAAGCAGGACCAGACAAGGACAUGGCCUCUGCAUUAAAGCCCAGAUCCCAGGCAGGGUUGGAAAGGCUGGGCCUGGGAAGUGGGGAUGAGAGGUCACUGGAGCCCUUGGCUUACCUCUGAGCACUGGGCAGGACAGUGCCUGACAGGAGGAUGGACUUGGAUGGGUACAGCCCUCCCAGAAUGGUGGUGAUGAAAGGCAUCGGCUGUCGGAAGAAGGGGGACAGGUCAGCCACCACGCGGAAGGGGAAGAUUGUACCAGUUCCCAUGAAUUUGGGCU
Molecule: long non-coding RNA, 490 nt
Filed under: Homo sapiens (human)
Lineage: Eukaryota; Metazoa; Chordata; Mammalia; Primates; Hominidae
Description: long non-coding RNA NONHSAT176060.1
Source: RNAcentral